UCCAGCAUGGGAGAAAGACGGAAGCCGGAAGACUCACUUCAGAGACAAAGGAUUUCAUUGAGUUUGCCAUACUCCCCACUCAGUGCUUUCUUAGGAGCCUGGAGUCUUUUGGAUGAGAAUUUUCCUAAGAACAACAGCAGAGAGCAAAAAUCAGAAGCAAACCACCACCACCACCACCACGACCACCACCACCACCACCACCACCAGGGGAAACUGACCAUCAGGCCUCCAAGAGAGUAUCAAUGAAAUGAAACUCACCAGAUGAGCUGCCAGAUUCCUCACUCAUCAUGACUACCUAACUGACCACCUGCUGCCUGUUGACUAACUCCUCUUCCUUACCCCUCCCUAAUUCCUGUUUCCCCACACUUAGUUAUGUUCCAUCCCUGCUAUAUGACUCCCCAGUUGUAGUUGGUCUGAGAGAUGGAUUUGAGACUGAGCUCCUGUCUCCUCAGCUGCCGCACCUGAUUAAAGCCUUUUU
Molecule: long non-coding RNA, 478 nt
Organism: Cercocebus atys (sooty mangabey)
Lineage: Eukaryota; Metazoa; Chordata; Mammalia; Primates; Cercopithecidae
Exons: 3
Source: RefSeq, a predicted model, not a curated record